Molecule: microRNA precursor, 76 nt
Filed under: Branchiostoma floridae (Florida lancelet)
Lineage: Eukaryota; Metazoa; Chordata; Leptocardii; Amphioxiformes; Branchiostomatidae
Description: mir-4872 microRNA precursor family
Rfam family: mir-4872 microRNA precursor family
Source: Rfam by way of RNAcentral
UAACAUGUGGUGCCGGGGUAACUAAAACUCUGAGUUCUGUUAGCUUCAGAGUUUUGUUCCCCCGACUCCAUAUGGA